This 406-nucleotide ribosomal RNA is filed under the name uncultured bacterium. RNAcentral describes it as "partial 16S ribosomal RNA". It matches the Rfam family "Bacterial small subunit ribosomal RNA", at positions 29 to 526 of the family's 1533-position model. The record is from RNAcentral.
AUUGAACGCUGGCGGCAGGCCUAACACAUGCAAGUCGAACGAGUGGCGGACGGGUGAGUAGUGUCUGGGAAACUGCCCGAUGGAGGGGGAUAACUACUGAAACCAGUAGCUAAUAACGCAUACCAUCGGAUGGGCCCAGAUGGGAUUGGCUAGGAGGUGGGGUAACGGCUCACGUAGGCGACGAUCCCUAGAUGGGCGGAGAGGAUGACCUGCCACACUGGAACUGAGACACGGUCCAGAUGCCGACGGGAGGCAGAGGUGGGGAAUAUUGCAAAAGGGGCGCAAGCCUGAUGCAGACAUGCGGCGGGUAUGAAGAAGGCCUUCGGGUGGUAAAGUACUUUCAGCGAGGAGGCGUUACUCGCAGAGGAAGCACCGGCUAACUCCGUGCCAGCAGCCGCGGGAAUAC